Long non-coding RNA from Haemorhous mexicanus (house finch), 549 nucleotides. RefSeq lists it as uncharacterized. The record is from RefSeq and is a predicted model, not a curated record. Lineage: Eukaryota; Metazoa; Chordata; Aves; Passeriformes; Fringillidae. The transcript has 4 exons.
GGCAGUGAGGGCUGAGGGGCGCUGCAGCAGCCCGCCCGGCGCAGGGCUGGCCCUGGCCUGGCUCCGCAGCCGCGGCGGGUCCUGCCCGGCCCGUGCCGCUGGAGGGCAGUGAUCGCAUGCCCGGAGAGGAGAGCACACCGCCCAAAACACACCGCCCACAGACUGCUUAGAUCGCCUUGACGGAGUAAGAAAUCCCAAAUUCACAGGGUGAUAACUACAGAAAAUGCUGCAUUCUCUCUGGGUUGUGUGAGAAGCCUCUUUGGCAUGAGCUUGUGAGAGCUGCUGUGGGCAGCAGAAGGUUGCCCAGUUGUUUGCCUAACUUCCAGCUGCAGAUGCUGUACACCUGCAAAAGGCAAUUGCACCUUCAGCUGAGUUCCAGCCAUACAAACUCCAGUCGUACCCACUCAGUCAUGAGCUAAUUGAGCAGCUGGAGCAGGAGCACCCAACACAGUAGCAGAGCAUGGAAGAGGGGAAGAGGCUGCUCUAACUGGCAGGUUCUCCCAACCAUGUGUCCUUCUGGCAGCUAUGUGGGUGUGAUGGGGAUUGAAG